GGAAUGGCGCAGGCGCAGUGACAGGUGCUGAAUUCCGUGAUUAUUCUGGAUCUCUUCUGGAAGUGGGUGCCACGGUCAUGGGCCAGUUGCUGAGAAAGCUCGCCUCACUCCUAAGAGGAUCUCUCUCAUUGUUCCCAGGGAAGAGAACAGCCUUGACAUUGUUGAAGUAAACACUCAGUCCCUCCCUGUUCACCGCUUGUUCUGCACUUCUUUCAAUAGCAACUUACUUGUAAAGAAGGAGAGACACAAUGAUGACAAACGCCACCAAGAAACCUGAGGCAAUCAAGACACCUUCCACUGUCCUCGAAGAUGACCCUGGAGCUUGAAUAACAAAUUUGGUUUAAAUAUUAGCCUCAUGUUCUAUACAGUGAGGUACAAUUUUCCAGCAAUACCAUUCUUUCUGCCACAUGACUCUAAGGUUCAGUAUAUUUCACACUCCCUUUACGCUAAACAAUAGGGCUCAGGGGCAUUCACAGACUGUAGGGUCCAAUUAAUCUUUGAUGCCAACUGAGUUAUACUAAAGGUGAAUACUAAGAGUGCCUUGUAUGUUUCCAUGUGAAAUAUAUUGUUUGCUGACUGUAACAUGCAAAUACCUUUACAAUGUGCAAAGGAACUGCAGGGCUAGUUGGCAUCCCACAAGAUUUGGAGUUACUUUGCUACUUGCCCAGUUGUUAUGCUACAAAGGGACUGUUUAAAUUAAAAGUGCAAAGUACUUAAUCGUUUUAUAACCCAGAGAAUAAGAAUUAGCAUGUCAUUGAGGAGUGGAGUUUGAGGGAGGAGAAAGAAUGGACUUUCUCUGGUAUCUUUUCAUUUGCCCUAGACAUGCGUUCUAGUGAUUCCCCUCUCUGGCCCAGGAUUGGACAGAACAUCCUCCUGAGAGGACUGAGUGUCCGUAGAUGGGAUGAUUGUUGGUGAUGAUGUGAUGCCUCUCCUAGGGGUUGAGUGUUCUGCCUUUGUAAUACUGACAGCUUGGGAAAUUAACUCUUGACCCAGCCUGUGAUUUCCUCUGUCGCUGUGCCACCAAAUUUCCAGUCCACCUCUGAGAAUGGCCUUAAAUUCAGAGACCACUGCGCUUGGAUCCAGUCCUAACCCCACCAGAUCUGGCCACAGGAGAAAUUGAAUAAAUAAAUACUGUUAAUUAUUGUUUACUUUUAUGAUUUGUAUUAAGCAUCUUAAUUCUCCAGUCCAGAGGCUGCUCUUCAAU
This is a long non-coding RNA of Mauremys mutica (yellowpond turtle), 1204 nucleotides long. RefSeq lists it as uncharacterized. Lineage: Eukaryota; Metazoa; Chordata; Testudines; Geoemydidae. The transcript is spliced from 4 exons. The record is from RefSeq and is a predicted model, not a curated record.